RNAcentral lists this long non-coding RNA (690 nucleotides) under Struthio camelus australis. RNAcentral describes it as "lncRNA (ENSSCUG00000013296.1)". Lineage: Eukaryota; Metazoa; Chordata; Aves; Struthioniformes; Struthionidae. The record is from RNAcentral.
UAGAGCUGCAGGCUGCCCCAUGGAGGAGCCUCCCAGGAUUUGGGCACCACGAGGCCAAGACCUGUGCUGUCAAGAGUGCAGCUUGGAGGAGAGUGUCUGCUGCUGAUGCAAAAGCAGUCAGGCACGGCUGACCUGCUGGGGCACGGCUCAUGUUCGGAGGCUUGAUCUCAGCAGUGGUUUUAAUGAAGAGAGAGAAUGCGGGAAGCAAACAGCAGAGGCAUCUUGAGAGCUUUGGCCUUAUUCCAUCUCCUUUAUUGUCUCUGGUCACAGAAGUGGGUGUAUUUGGACGAAAGCAGACCUAUGGAGUGAGGGCAGUGUUUCUCAGCAAAUCCACUUGCAAGAAAGCUCAAAAGCAAUUACAGAAGGGAACGUACAGUACUCCAGGAAUUUAAAAAACAGGUUAGGAACCCUGAUUUCCAUGCUGGCUUAAGUCAAGUGCGUUACCUGUUGAACCAACGCGCCUCUUUGUACCGUGGCCACGUCUUGCCUGUGACCUGCAGCGGGUGUUCAACCACUUUUUCAGUAUCUGCUGUGCAGUACCAGCCUGGCCUAAUCUUCCUUCUCUCGUUGUCCUGAGGCCCCAAAGGCGGCUCAUGGACCUCUGCUGCACGAGGUCUUCGGCAUCAACACGCUGAAAUUUGUAACGAACAGCCAUAACUUCUAGACGUCCUGGAUGUUUUUCUCACACCA